CCUACGGGAGGCAGCAGUGGGGAAUAUUGGGCAAUGGGCGCAAGCCUGACCCAGCAACGCCGCGUGAAGGAAGAAGGCUUUCGGGUUGUAAACUUCUUUUAUCAGGGACGAAGCAAGUGACGGUACCUGAUGAAUAAGCCACGGCUAACUACGUGCCAGCAGCCGCGGUAAUACGUAGGUGGCAAGCGUUAUCCGGAUUUACUGGGUGGAAAGAGCGUGUAGGCGGGAAAGCAAGUCAGAUGUGAAAACCAUGGGCUCAACCUGUGGCCUGCAUUUGACACUGUUUUUCUUGAGUACUGGAGAGGCAGACGGAAUUCCUAGUGUAGCGGUGAAAUGCGUAGAUAUUAGGAGGAACACCAGUGGCGAAGGCGGUCUGCUGGACAGCAACUGACGCUGAGGCGCGAAAGCGUGGGGAGCAAACAGGAUUAGAUACCCCAGUAGUC
This 443-nucleotide ribosomal RNA is filed under the name uncultured bacterium. RNAcentral describes it as "partial 16S ribosomal RNA". It matches the Rfam family "Bacterial small subunit ribosomal RNA", at positions 338 to 795 of the family's 1533-position model. The record is from RNAcentral.